RNAcentral lists this long non-coding RNA (1183 nucleotides) under Corvus moneduloides (New Caledonian crow). RNAcentral's name for it is "lncRNA (ENSCMUG00000018470.1)". Lineage: Eukaryota; Metazoa; Chordata; Aves; Passeriformes; Corvidae. The record is from RNAcentral.
GUAGAUAUAAAUUAAAAGGGGAUGAAACAAUCUGAGCUGGGAAGAGAUGAGUGCAAGUUUAUUUUAUUUCCUUGGUUGUGUAGGAGUCCUGUUAACCAGUAUGUAAUGCACAGUCAUGUAAUAAAACAUGCUAGACAUUAAAAGGCAAAAACCCAGUUCACAGAUGUUGUAAUGUUAUGAGAUAAUUUUAGGGAGUGAAUGGGGUGAAAAGGCUGGAUUUGUUAGAGAGGAAAAUACCUAUGGAGGCCUUUUCUGUGAGCAAUACCAUGACUUCAUUACCAUGUCAAUUCUGGGAAAAGGCUCUGAUUUAACACAGCAGUUGGCUGGAUCCAUAUGGAGCUGAUGAACCUCUGAAUGAAUAGUGAAUGGAAAAACUGCUGGAAUCUGCCUUCAGCUUUGUUCCCAGGAUGACCAAUGUAAAAGGCCUAAGAGCAAUACUGCACAGAUGGUGUAAAGAGGUCAGCCUUUUAGAGGCAGUGAGCUGUGUUGCACUGUCUGAAGGAUUCUGGAGAGAAACUUGCUUCUGAACAGGAUUCAGAGUGGCUUAGGAGAAGAAAAUAUCUUCUCCUACCUGCUGCCUGUUGAGAACUGACCCUGCUGCAAUUCAUUUCUUGCUGCUCCUAAUAUACCCUCAAGGGAGACGAAGCCUUUGCUACAAGCCCGUCAGCAGAAAGUGGAUCCACAGGGAACUUGGUUACAUGGUACAGUCUGGGACCCAGUUUAACUUUGCUUCAUCUUUCUAGCAAUCCCAGAACUCUUCAAAAAUGUGGGUGGAGAUCUAUUACACAUGCUUACUAUGGUUACUCGCCAUGAAAAACAGUAUGAACGGCCAACACAGGCUCCAGGUGGUGGAUCAGCAUUAAUCAUAAUAGACUCAGGGCAGAGGACUGGCAAGAUACCAUGAGAAAUGGUUGUACAUCCAUCCCCUUGAAUUCCAUUUCCUCCCACAGGGGAUAGGGAUAUGGAGGUAAGUGCCAGUGCCUGCAUCUUCUGUUUCCAGCUAUCAUAAACCAUGAUCUGCUAUGUGUCCGUGUCCUUUUGUCUGCAGGAAAAGGGUGCAUGACGCAACUCUCUGGUACAGUAGAGUUAGGAAUCUGGGGAUUUUGACAGCUUUCACAAAAAAAUAAUAAGGAUCGAAGUCUGUCCUUCAAAUUCAUUUGGGUUUAAUAGCAACAGCUUUUAG